Molecule: long non-coding RNA, 935 nt
Organism: Schistocerca gregaria
Lineage: Eukaryota; Metazoa; Arthropoda; Insecta; Orthoptera; Acrididae
Exons: 2
Source: RefSeq, a predicted model, not a curated record
ACUUUUCCAGUUGAUUACAUUUACGUAACCAAAUAUCAUUAGGAUUAGUUAUUGUUUCCAUUUUUUCCCUUUUUUGUUUUAAAAGCUGACGAGUGAUGACUUCAUUACGGAAAGAAGGAGGCCUGACACGGUUACUACAGUCUUCGCCAAAGUCAUGGAGAUUACAGUGAAAGACCAAAUCUCAAACUACUUUGAAAUGAUUGAAUUAUUUACAGAAGCGUAGCAUGGUUUCCGGUAAGGCAAAUCUACAGCAGCAACAGCAUUAGACCUGAUAAUGAUCAACAAGUGCUGCAGAGCAAAGUUCCAUCAUGUGUCAAGACAUAGACAAAGAGAAUUAAAGAUGAUGGAAGAGGACAGAUGUCAGAAAUCAGUGGGAGACUCUAAAUGGCAUUCAUCAAAUUGUUUCAAGCCCACAUCAGAGAGCAACUGAAUAGAAUGUUUAUAGACGGUAGUCUAUUCAAACAUUAAGUAUACCAGAAAGAGCGUAAGUUUCAUUUUUCCCAAAUUAAUUUUUUGAUUCAAAUGUGUGUGUAUAAUAACUGGAUUCAGCUAUAACAGCAUCUCAUUAAUUCAAACAUAAUUUUUAGAAUGGGAAAGUAGCACUGAAAACACAAUCUCCUUAUCUUAAAAAACAUUAACAUGAGUGAAAUUUAUUGUCAAUCUGGAGCCCCAGUUGUUUGUGGAUUAUGGGCAAAAAUAAGAAUAAACAGUGUGAAGAAGGAUGAGAAACAUUGUAAGUGGGAGAAAUUUACUCUGAAGGUCAGGUCUUGAGAGACAUAGCAACACUUUUUCCCUCUUUUUGCAUCUUAUAAUGAUUAUUCCAUGAUGACAAAACUUUCUUAUGAAAAAUCAAGUUUUUGUAUUAACAAACACAAUCGGUAAAUUUUGUAUCAGCUACUAUUUUAUGUAUUUUCAAUAUAGUCUUUUUUUUGUUU